Molecule: microRNA precursor, 84 nt
Filed under: Bombyx mori (domestic silkworm)
Lineage: Eukaryota; Metazoa; Arthropoda; Insecta; Lepidoptera; Bombycidae
Description: mir-2807 microRNA precursor family
Rfam family: mir-2807 microRNA precursor family
Source: Rfam by way of RNAcentral
UUAACUCGUAUUUGUAUGGAAUCGUAUCGUUUGCCUGCGUUUGCCGCUAGGGGCGCUGUUCCAACUGCAUACAAAAUUGGGCUA